This 454-nucleotide ribosomal RNA is filed under the name uncultured Rhodocyclaceae bacterium. RNAcentral describes it as "bacterial SSU rRNA". It matches the Rfam family "Bacterial small subunit ribosomal RNA", at positions 924 to 1382 of the family's 1533-position model. The record is from RNAcentral. Lineage: Bacteria; Pseudomonadati; Pseudomonadota; Betaproteobacteria; Rhodocyclales; Rhodocyclaceae.
CACAAGCGGUGGAUGAUGUGGUUUAAUUCGAUGCAACGCGAAACUUACCACCUUUGACAUGUACGGAACCCUUAGAGAUAGAGGGGUGCUCGAAAGAGAGCCGUAACACAGGUGCUGCAUGGCUGUCGUCAGCUCGUGUCGUGAGAUGUUGGGUUAAGUCCCGCAACGAGCGCAACCCUUGUCAUUAGUUGCCAUCAUUUGGUUGGGCACUCUAAUGAGACUGCCGGUGACAAACCGGAGGAAGGUGGGGAUGACGUCAAGUCCUCAUGGCCCUUAUGGGUAGGGCUUCACACGUCAUACAAUGGUCGGUACAGAGGGUUGCCAACCCGCGAGGGGGAGCUAAUCCCACAAAGCCGAUCGUAGUCCGGAUCGCAGUCUGCAACUCGACUGCGUGAAGUCGGAAUCGCUAGUAAUCGUGGAUCAGCAUGUCACGGUGAAUACGUUCCCGGGUCUU